Non-coding RNA from Acyrthosiphon pisum (pea aphid), 45 nucleotides. Lineage: Eukaryota; Metazoa; Arthropoda; Insecta; Hemiptera; Aphididae. The record is from Rfam.
AAAACGGUCCUUUUUAGGACCACCAAGUAUUAUUACAAUCUACAA